Molecule: long non-coding RNA, 701 nt
Organism: Salvia splendens (bonfire salvia)
Lineage: Eukaryota; Viridiplantae; Streptophyta; Magnoliopsida; Lamiales; Lamiaceae
Exons: 2
Source: RefSeq, a predicted model, not a curated record
GGUUGAUGAAAUUGUCACUUUCAAUCAAAUAACACCACGUUUUCGCGACGGCGCGGAACCGCUUGAGCGAUUUCACUGGCAGGCGGCGGAGGAUAUCCUCGAUGAGCUCGAACGGCAGAUUCGGCAUUCCUAUAGUUGGCUUGAUUUUGAAGAAUUCGAAAAAGAUAAAGAGAAAAAAGAAAAACAGAUAGGGGUGGUUGGUGAUAAAAAAAUGACUUGUCGUGUCGGAGAUGGAAAAGGUGAAUGGAGUUGGAAACCGGCGGCGGUAAGUCUGUAGGUGUCGUCUCAUUUGAGAGGCCUUGUUUUCUUUAUCUUUUAUUAUUGCAGGAAUUUAUCUUCUUUUUCACUUUUUUUUAAUUACUUUUGAGAACUUGCCAAGCACUUUCUCAGAAUCCAAGUUGUUGAUUCGAUUAGUAUUUUAUUUUACACUAUGCAUCCAUAACGCGGUAUACUAUAUUGAGUGCUUGGAGAAUAGACUUUUAUUAUUCACGGUCCCCAAUCCUUUAGCAUACUAUUUGAGGUAUUUAUUACACUAUUUUUUAACAUUUAUCUACUUUUUUUCAUCUUAGCUUUUGCAUUUCUGUAAUUAUAUUACACUAUUUUUGAACAUUUGUACUUUUUUUUCAUCUUUUUUUUUGUAAUUCAAGGACUGAAAAUCUGAAAUAACUUUGGUAUAUACUUUCGUUCUUUUUAUUUAGGUA